AGCCGCGUAUGUUAGUGGUAGACUUCCGGGUUGUGGUCCCGGCGACCCUUGUUCAAACCAGGGCGCGGCUA
Molecule: transfer RNA, 71 nt
Filed under: Promethearchaeum syntrophicum
Lineage: Archaea; Promethearchaeati; Promethearchaeota; Promethearchaeia; Promethearchaeales; Promethearchaeaceae
Description: tRNA-His (GTG) (tRNA-His-GTG-1-1)
Rfam family: tRNA
About the family: Transfer RNA (tRNA) molecules are approximately 80 nucleotides in length.
Source: RNAcentral